RNAcentral lists this long non-coding RNA (1041 nucleotides) under Cricetulus griseus (Chinese hamster). RNAcentral's name for it is "lncRNA (ENSCGRG00000024296.1)". Lineage: Eukaryota; Metazoa; Chordata; Mammalia; Rodentia; Cricetidae. The record is from RNAcentral.
CCCCACCCUCGAGCCGGCGCCCCGCCCUGGCCUCUGCUCAUUGGCCUGGAUCCCCACAGAGCCGCCCUCAUUGGCCGUCCUUCACCUCAAGGGGGCGGGGCCCAAAGUCGCCGGAGUUUUGCUCGGGACGGGACGUCCGACAGAGGAGAGGCUGACGUCGGGGUGACGCUCCGAGUUAAUCGCAUCUGACGUCACGUCUCGUCUUAGCUCGCCUGCGGCGAUUGGCUGAGCGGCUUUGGGGAUCCCCUGCUAAUUGGGCGUCAAGGUUACAAGGUCUGGUUGUCUCAGUCGGAGCCCCGCCCCUGAAGGGUAAUAGAGGACUGAAGGCAGUAACAGAGUACCUGCCACUGUGGUCCGUGGUGAAGAUCCCCAUCCGGUAAAGGCAGGACAUGUGACCAAUGCCAGAAGAGGAUUCAACUAGAAGCAGACCAAGAGUAAAUAAUCUGUCCUCCCUUACUUCCUAGAAGGGAAAGGACCUUUAAAGAGAAGCCAUUCUUUGUUCAAAGGCACAAAACUGAUUGGGAAGAACUGAGAUCCUGGCCAUCUGUCCUGAUUUUCUGGGCUGCUUCAGUAAGAUCCAAGUACCCUCAGAGACAACUCAUUUCUAACUGAGAUUGGGAAAAUCCAGCAUUUCAGCUUCUGCAAGUAAUCAGCAGACCUUCUGGGUUGGGCAGAUAUGUGAAGGAAAUCCAGGAACAAAGGAUGUCCAUGACCAGAAAUUACCCACUGGGGAAGUGCUGAAGAAUGGCCUACUAGGAAGAGGUGGACACACGUUGUUCAAGAGGAGGUUGUCCCAGGUCAAUGGAGUCUCUUCUUCAGAAGGCCUAUCUUCUGUCCGUCUUUCUAUCAUACCUCAUAUUUACCUAAGAGAGGCUACCAAUAGACCAAAGAAAUGUUUCUGCCCAAGUCCAGAUUGGUGUUUAUGUUUGCCUAUGGAAUUUCUCUGUACAGUCACUGGCAUGGAGGAAGGAAGAUAAGCCAGAAGUCACACUGAGAUCAUGACUGCCAGCUUGCUCUUUUUCCCAGAUGCUAAAUCACUGC